Long non-coding RNA from Cryptomeria japonica (Japanese cedar), 322 nucleotides. RefSeq lists it as uncharacterized. NCBI's taxonomy places the organism in Eukaryota, Viridiplantae, Streptophyta, Pinopsida, Cupressales, Cupressaceae. The transcript has 3 exons. The record is from RefSeq and is a predicted model, not a curated record.
GAAUUCAAUAGACCGCCCACAAAAGAUGACAAGAGAAUUACCUACUAGCAAGGCUAUUCAGCUGUGGCUGGUCGGCUACGAGAAUUGAGUGGGCAUACACAACAUUUGAGUGCAUCCGUCACACAGCUUGCUAAUUGUGAAACACCACCUGCACAUGAAGGUCCGGAUGUGCAUCUCAGUAGUGGAGAGCAUGUAGUCGAUGGUGAGCAAGUGGAGCAUGAUCUGGGUACACAACCUCAAGAACGUGAUGUUCCCCACUCAGGUGAAGAGGACCGUGGUGUUCAGCAUGUUGAGGUUGAGGCUACACACAAUGAUGUGGCCC